CACGCCCCCAACCAAGAUGCCAUUCACAAACUUCUAGCUCUCAUACAACGAAAAUGCAAUCAAAUGCGAUGGCGGAGGGAAAUUCAGAUGGUGAAUUAAGUUUAAAUUUAGACUGUCUUCGUCGUCGUUCGAAGAGGAUGUAAAUGAAAACGAAGAGGUACAAAUGCUUAUUUGAACCAGAAUAUAGAGAAGAAGCUACAAAUACAGACGAAGACAUUGGCGUAGGCAAUCAUAGGCUUUUGAAUACCUAGUGGACGUGUUUGUGCACAAGAGGUGUGGCAUAAUGCCUACAAUGAAAGAGCCAAAAUGCUGCAUGGAAUAUAAACAGAUGCAAGACAAGAUGGUCCGUGCUGGUAUGCAAGGUGGAUGUAUAACAUCUUAUCCUGGAUUUGAACAUGUGUGUUUAAAUGAAUGGGUGUUACAGCUUACCUACAUAUCGUAUCGGCAGCAGUAUGGGGCGCGAGCCGUGUUACCACAUUCAAGAGAAGAGCAAUACAGACACAUUGCAUACAGAAAUCUGGUCCGCUUCUGCUAUGGCUAUUUAGGCAGACUCAACAGAGUUACUCUACCAGCAUGUGCUGUGCUUAAGAUACGUAAGGCAUUUCCAAACCCAGAAGAGGAUGGUUACUCAGGAUUCAAAUUAGGAAAGUUAGAAGAAAUAUAAUUAUAAAUUUUAUAGUGUAAAUUUCCACUGAUGAAUAUAACUAAGCAGCAGGUAAAUAAACUUCAUUUCUUACCACUUGGUAUUCAAAGCCUAUGACAGUCUGUGCAAUGUCUUUGUCUGUAUUUGUAGCUGCUCCUGCUUCUCUAAAUUCAUUUGCAUUUGCAUCUUCUUCGAAUGGUAUAAAAUGGUAGGUGUCACAAGUGACAUCUAUUUUAGUUUAUAAGUAAGUAUUUUCUUUGAACCACUAACCUUACUUUUACACACAGCAGCUAGUCUUCAGUCAAAUAUGGUAAUGAGGUAAGUAUUCUUUGAGAAACUUGGUGUGUGAUUUACUGAUUGGCUGAAUGAGAAAUGAAUAUAAGUGAGGUAAUGCAAAUGAGUGCAGAGAUGCAAAUGAGUUUAGGUUAGUGGUGUGAAGCACUGACUGGAUGGGAGUGCAUGAAUAGUAAUGAGAUAUGAAUUUUUGGUGGGGUGUUGGUUAGAACUGGAUGAAGGGGGUUUGGAGAAUGGCUUGUGAGAUAGCAGGGAAAGGACAUGUUAGUCCAGAGUUAAUAUAUGUUGUAUUACAGACAACAAUAUCAGGUUCCAUGCCUACGUUAUACCAGCCUACAGACAUUGCGGGUGAGAUAAGAACAAUUUGUUUGCCUGUUAUUUUAUAAUAAAAAUGGUAGGCCUGAAUGUAUGCCAAUGAUCAUCCAGUGAACGGCUGUGAUGUAAUCAAUAUUGCAUUAUUUAGAUGGAAACCUUUUUACAAGUACCUGCUAUUUAUAUUGUUUUUGUAGAGCUAAUAAGCUUGGAUACCAGGGAGAAGUCAACCCUGAGUUAAAGUGAACAUCACUAUAGUUCAAAAUUAGUGAAUUUUGUGGAGCUAAUAAGCUCAGAUUGCAGGGAGUAACCCUGAUUUAUGCUGAAUGUUAUUGAAGGUAACUAUAAUCCAGAAUUAGUAAAUUUAUGGAGCUAAUAAGCUCGGAUACAAGAAUAUAAUUUGGAUUGAAGGCCACUUUAAUGCAGAAUUUGUGAAUUGGUGUUUGAAGCUAUUCGAGUUUACUAAGCCAGGAAGAACCUGUGAAUGUCAUUAAAGAAGUGAACUGUGGGGGGAUUGUGAUUGUUCUUUGGGCAGGGUGUCUGAAAGUGGACAGUUGAACUUUAUGUAAUUUUUGCUUUUGGUCAAUUGCAAAAUAUAGUAUUCAUUUAUUAUAAUUCUGUAAUCAUUCUUCCAUGCUUUAUUCACAUUAAUUUUUGGAAUGUUAAAAUAAUAUAAUGAUUCAAUGAUGGUUAAUUUUUUGAAAUUGCUGUUAAUAUUGUGAAGUUAUUGUUACUGUAUUAUUUUGAAAUUUGAGAAGAUAAAUGUAAAGUAAAUCAUAACAUUAAAUAUGUACCAUUGACAGUAACUUUCAUUGUGAUAUACAGUACAAUAUUAUUAAUCCGGUAUAUAGAAUAAUUAUUUCCAUCUGAUAACUGAUGUUAAUUGAGGAUUACCAAUAAGCCUAGUUUAUUGGGUUUUUUUUUAAACUAUAUAUUCUUACCAUUAACAGUGAAUCUCGAGAUAUAAUAGUUUAUUGUUCAGUGUUAAACACUCACCUGAAUAUAAUUGGUGUUUUGAUAAUUGAGAUCGUUUUCCUUUGGUUUAAACGUUUUAUAUAAUUGGAAAAUUCAUAUACUAUAUCAUAUUAAAUCAGUUUAUUUUAACUUUUUGUAAGACAGUGUCAGUUCGGUUUAUUUAUCAUCCUGAGGUUUUAUUUGUUCAGACAAAUUACAAUGUCCGUAUGAGCCUAUAUUAGGCUGUGUGACAGUAGUCUCUAAAAUUAAACUUAAUUUGCUUCUUAAUCUUUCCCAUCAGCCUAUCAGAACAAAACUCCUGUAGUUCAUUAUAAUUACUGUAAUGUGUAUGCUAUUUGCUUGUUUGUAAACUUGACAUUUGGGUCAAAUUAAUGAAUAAUUGGCACACUGCCCUAAUUGAAAUUUUAUUAUUUAUUUAUUUAUUAUUAAAUUUUAUUUAAUAAUAUAAUAUAAUUUUAACGGGUGGUCAUGGCUUAAAGUGCAUUUUCGUUAUAAUGCAACACUGCUAUUAUCACCCUAGAAUUUAAAUGACACAAGUUUAACAAGUUGUCCGUAUAGCAAUUGGCACGCAAGUUUGAUGAUUGCAGAGUGUAUGUUUAACUCUGUCCACACUAUAAUAUUUUAUGCAACAAAUUUGUCUUGAUGUCAUAUCACAUUUUUCUCACACAUACAAUUUGAUAGUGUAGAUUGAGCCUAACACUUACCUGGUAAACAUGCCAUUGUAGGAAUACAACAGCAUUUUGGGAGCAAAGUGAAUGAUAGUCCCAUGGAAUGCCUCUACACCCGAUGUCUGCCGAUGUGGACUAAGCUUUUGUAUGUCCUUUAGAAAGUGACGUUUUUCUAGAAGAUCGGACUAUUUUUCGCAUGCCUUUGACCCUGUCGGAUGACAAAAUUAAUAUAACAUUUAAACUGUAGAAAACAUUACUAAAAUUUUAUCUUUACAUUUAUUUUUCGUGAUGUUAUAUGAUGUUGUUGAUAAUAAAAUAUGAUAUAAAAA
Molecule: RNA transcript, 3221 nt
Organism: Anneissia japonica
Lineage: Eukaryota; Metazoa; Echinodermata; Crinoidea; Comatulida; Comatulidae
Gene name: P2X purinoceptor 7-like
Exons: 3
Source: RefSeq, a predicted model, not a curated record